AGAGUUUGAUCAUGGCUCAGAUUGAACGCUGGCGGCAUGCCUUACACAUGCAAGUCGAACGGCAGCACGGGAGCAAUCCUGGUGGCGAGUGGCGAACGGGUGAGUAAUACAUCGGAACGUGCCCAGUUGUGGGGGAUAGCCCGGCGAAAGCCGGAUUAAUACCGCAUACGACCUGAGGGUGAAAGCGGGGGACCUGCAAGGGCCUCGCGCAGUUGGAGCGGCCGAUGGCAGAUUAGCUAGUUGGUGGGGUAAAGGCUCACCAAGGCGACGAUCUGUAGCUGGUCUGAGAGGACGACCAGCCACACUGGGACUGAGACACGGCCCAGACUCCUACGGGAGGCAGCAGUGGGGAAUUUUGGACAAUGGGCGCAAGCCUGAUCCAGCCAUGCCGCGUGCGGGAAGAAGGCCUUCGGGUUGUAAACCGCUUUUGUCAGGGAAGAAACGCUCCGGGUUAAUACCUUGGAGUAAUGACGGUACCUGGAGAAUAAGCACCGGCUAACUACGUGCCAGCAGCCGCGGUAAUACGUAGGGUGCGAGCGUUAAUCGGAAUUACUGGGCGUAAAGCGUGCGCAGGCGGCCAUGCAAGACAGAUGUGAAAUCCCCGGGCUCAACCUGGGAACUGCAUUUGUGACUGCAUGGCUGGAGUGCGGCAGAGGGGGAUGGAAUUCCGCGUGUAGCAGUGAAAUGCGUAGAUAUGCGGAGGAACACCGAUGGCGAAGGC
RNAcentral lists this ribosomal RNA (721 nucleotides) under uncultured bacterium. Its description in RNAcentral is "bacterial SSU rRNA". It matches the Rfam family "Bacterial small subunit ribosomal RNA", at positions 8 to 722 of the family's 1533-position model. The record is from RNAcentral.